RNAcentral lists this transfer RNA (87 nucleotides) under Microcoleus sp. FACHB-672. Its description in RNAcentral is "tRNA-Ser". It matches the Rfam family "tRNA". From Rfam's summary of the family: Transfer RNA (tRNA) molecules are approximately 80 nucleotides in length. Their secondary structure includes four short double-helical elements and three loops (D, anti-codon, and T loops). Lineage: Bacteria; Bacillati; Cyanobacteriota; Cyanophyceae; Oscillatoriales; Microcoleaceae. RNAcentral also lists the same sequence under 2 other names. The record is from RNAcentral.
GGAGAGGUGGCCGAGCGGUUUAAGGCGCAGCACUGGAAAUGCUGUGUGGGGGUAACUUCACCGUGGGUUCAAAUCCCACCCUCUCCG